CUUGAACUCCUAGUCUCAAGUGAUCCACCAGCCUCCCAAAGUGCUGGGAUUACAGAUGUAAGCCACCACGCUCAACCACAACCCUUAAUAAAUGUUUACUGACCUUGCUGAAAAGGGAUCAUAUAACAAAAAACAUUACAGUGUUAAUUAGUUCUCAGGAAGAGAAAAAAAAUCCAUACAAAUUUUUAUAAAAAGCUUCAAAGAACAGAAUCAAUUGCUUUAUGGCCCCUCUUAGUUGCUGGUGUAAGCAGCCUAGAAAUUGAGGUUUCUCAAUGGGCCAAGAUACCUGGAGAGUUUGGGGACAGUGAAAACACACUGCAUACCAGGGGUUCCCCAUCACUCUAGGACUCACCUGCUGAAGUAGCAGGCACUUUCCCUGCUCCAUUGAUGCUGGCUCAUAGCUGAUCCUAUGGACUGCAUGUUGUACAAGAGGGGAAUUGGAAGUCUACUAGCCUGAGCCACAUAGCCAUCAUCACUCAGUGAUCUGGGUUCAAGGCAACUGAAAGAAACACAUAUUUGUAUUAUGAGUCCUGCAUAUAAGAAGUCUCAUUCUCUGGGAAUUUCCUUUCUCCUUCCGACUUCAUGCCCAGCAGAAGCAUUUCAGAAUACAGGGAGGGGGAAGAGGAGAGGGUCAGGGCUGGGCAUGAGAGCCACUCUCCCAUGACUGGAAGGAAACUUCCAUUCAUGGAUGGAUGAGAAAGGCUGUGCUAGAAGCCACACUGUAGAAGCAUACCGAGGCUUGAGUAAACAGACACCUGCUUAGCACAGUUUCUAUAUUAAUUUUUGCACAUACAUGAUUCCAAGAUUAUUUUUAUUAAACAUCUGAUAAGUAUAUUUCCUUUGGUAUAAAUCCAUCAGUCUUUUCUGGAACCACCAAAAGUUUUAGAUUCCUUACCCAAACCUCAAAAGUGUAAACCCUUGCUAGGUCAUGCCCCUGCCUAACCAGUUUCCCAGGGAAAAAGGCUUUAUGAUGAGAUUUCACUGUCCUUUUGUUAUAUUUUCUGUUUGGUAAUAUACUUUUGUUUUUGCCUUAACACAAAUUUAUUAUUUUUCAGCUCUGUAGGUUGUAAGUGCCAAAGGAGUCUCACUGGGCUGAACCCAAGGUGUCAGCAGUACUGCUUUUCUUUUUGGAGGCUCUAGGGGAAAACCUGUUUCCUUGAUGAUUCAGAUUGUUGGCUGAAUUUAGUCCUUAUGGGUGUAGGACCCUGUCUGCUUGCUGUGUUCCCAAUUUCUAGAGGCCACCUGUGUUCCUUGGCAUGUGCCUACCUUCCUCUGUCUUCAAAGCCAACAACAGCGGGUCACGUGGUUUUCGUGCCUCAAAUCUCUGUUGCUUGUUCUACCACUGUAUCUCUCUGACCUGCUUUUUGUCUUUCUCUUCUAACUUUAAGGACUAAGUUUAAGGUUACACUGGGCCCACCUAGGUAAUCCAGGAUAGUCUACCCAUCUCAAGGUCUUCAAAGUCUCCUUUGCAAUGUAAGGUAACAUAUUCACAGGUUCCAGACAUUACGGCAUGGAUAUCUGGGAGGUCAUUAUGCUGCCUACACGUGGUUGUCCUGAAGAGACAGGUAAUUUGUUGGAAAGGGUAAUGGGGGACCUUUUUGGAGUGAGGGGAAUGUUCUAUAUCUUGAUUAGGGUGGUGAUGUGUAUUCAACUGUUAAAUCUUUUAAAUUUUAGUUUAACAUCGACAUUAUUGCAUUCUCCAACUUUUAUAUUUUCCUUGUAAUUAUUUAUUUAGAAGCAACUUUCUGUGAGGCAUUGUAUUAAGCACUUUAUGUAAUAAUCUCAUGCAUUUUUUUUUCUCCUAGGACUCUGGUGUUAUUACAUAAUAAGUUUGCUUUAACCAAUUAAGUUCGAUGAUGCAGUAUACUGACUAGGGUUUUUCAGGCAUUUGCUAGUCCCUUAUGAGGUCAGGCAGCUUGCACUAUGGCACAUGAAGAAUAUUCAGAUACUUCAUAUCCUGCAGGAGAAGGGAGACAGUGUGACAAAUUCUGCUGCCACUAAUUGAAAGUAGUUUAUCACUUUAUCUUUAGAAGGUCUAAUGCCAAAACUUCAAGGAGAGAAUACACAGUCCAGUCUGGGUUUGAGCCUGGAGUUUGGAUGUCUAAGAUGACUCUGAGCGGAUGUGGAUUUACGUGUUAGUACCUGAAAGCGGGCACAGCCCCCACCUUGGAAUGAAUGUACACUUCCAAAGGACUCGUUUCCACAGGGUGGUGGAAGGAACAACAGAGACAGCUAUGUGCCCACACGCUCAGCCAUCUGCCAUUCCAACCACACGUCUCUCCCCCCGUUUCCUGCAAAUGAUUCAUCUAUUCUUUUUCCCCUUCUUCAAAGAUAACUCUGUAGGCAUUUAAGGAGGGGAAAGUCAUUAAGAAAAGUGGAAUCUGGAGUUAUUAGGAUGAGAUAGAGCAGACUAAACAGUCUGGAAUUUCACAAAGCAAACAGCACAGGGUGUGGACUCUGGGACCGUCCGUCUGUCAGGCUGGUGCAUCAUUUCACAGAUUAUCGUCCUUCAUGAACAGGUCAACAAAAAUGGCCACAUGUAAACAUAAGCAUAUGAGUUGCUAAAGAGAAAGAACACAGCAGAAGUCAGGAGGAUUCUGGAUUUUCCAAGUGGAGGCUCUGUGUAUCUUACCCAGCAUCCUAUGUAGCGUCUGUUCCUAAAAGUGAAGCCAAAGGUUUUACACCAAUGAAUGGGAUCUUUGUGACUUUUUCCAAUAAGCACACCAAAAAGUUGCCAUUAAAAUCAUGCUUUUAAAGGAGAUCCUGAACAACAGAGAAGAUGAUUAUGGCCAUGUCCUCAACACUAAGGGGUGCUGGUGGCAAUAUACUGUGUGGGAAAGGCAUGUGUAUGUCCAUGAGGAGGUGCUUGGUGGGUAUUUGUUGAAUUGCAUCAAACUGGAGCCAGAUGGCACUCAGUUCAAAUCCUGGCUCUGCUUCCAGCUUCUGGGAAGUUGCUAGGCAAGUUGCUAAACCUCUGGAGUUAGGCAAUAAAGACACUUCCUCACAGGGUAAAGUAAGGAUUAGAGGAUAAGAUACAUGAAGUACUUUGUGUGGUCUUUGGAAAGCGGUAGAUAGGCAAAUAUCAGGUGAAUACACAUAUUCCUUAUAAUUUCACUUCAGUUUCUACCACAUCCCACACCCUGAGGCUAGCAGGGUAAAGAGCUCUAAGGAGAAUGAAGAGGCCUCUGGCCCAUUCUAGUGUGGCCUCUCCCAUCAGGAGGGAAAAGGCAAAUAUUGCAUGGGACCUGGCAAUAGGAUUGAAUGGGACAUCAGUGAAGUGUGAUAGCAUCCUUACCAUCACCCCUUAACAACCACUAUAUCCCUUGUGGCAAGUGAAAGACCCCAGAAGUGAGGGAUCUUAUUGCUAAGUAGAGCCAACAAAUCCCAGAUCAGACAGAGUUCUUAAAGAUUCUAAUAUGUUGCCAGUAUUGUCUCAUCUGUAAAAUGGGUGUUAAAAUAGCAUUCACCUCUUGGGUUGUGAAGAUGAAAGAAGAUAAUCUAUGUAAAGGACUGAGCACAGGGCCUGGGACAGUUAGUGAUACAUACAUGUUGGCUACUGUUAUUAUUUUGUAUUCCAUGUUCGAUCUAUGGUAUUGAUUAACCUGCUUAUUGAUUGAUGGAUUUUCAUUUAGUAAAUGAAUUUUCAAUAAAUGAUUUUCACUUAA
This is a long non-coding RNA of Sapajus apella (tufted capuchin), 3665 nucleotides long. RefSeq lists it as uncharacterized. The record is from RefSeq and is a predicted model, not a curated record. NCBI's taxonomy places the organism in Eukaryota, Metazoa, Chordata, Mammalia, Primates, Cebidae. The transcript has 2 exons.